RNAcentral lists this ribosomal RNA (587 nucleotides) under Penicillium sp. 121. RNAcentral describes it as "eukaryotic LSU rRNA". The stretch from base 208 to 360 matches the Rfam family "5.8S ribosomal RNA". The record is from RNAcentral. Lineage: Eukaryota; Fungi; Ascomycota; Eurotiomycetes; Eurotiales; Aspergillaceae.
GGCAGUUCGUAGUGACUGCGGAGGAUCAUUACCGAGUGAGGGCCCUCUGGGUCCAACCUCCCACCCGUGUUUAUUUUACCUUGUUGCUUCGGCGGGCCCGCCUUAACUGGCCGCCGGGGGGCUUACGCCCCCGGGCCCGCGCCCGCCGAAGACACCCUCGAACUCUGUCUGAAGAUUGUAGUCUGAGUGAAAAUAUAAAUUAUUUAAAACUUUCAACAACGGAUCUCUUGGUUCCGGCAUCGAUGAAGAACGCAGCGAAAUGCGAUACGUAAUGUGAAUUGCAAAUUCAGUGAAUCAUCGAGUCUUUGAACGCACAUUGCGCCCCCUGGUAUUCCGGGGGGCAUGCCUGUCCGAGCGUCAUUUCUGCCCUCAAGCACGGCUUGUGUGUUGGGCCCCGUCCUCCGAUCCCGGGGGACGGGCCCGAAAGGCAGCGGCGGCACCGCGUCCGGUCCUCGAGCGUAUGGGGCUUUGUCACCCGCUCUGUAGGCCCGGCCGGCGCUUGCCGAUCAACCCAAAUUUUUAUCCAGGUUGACCUCGGAUCAGGUAGGGAUACCCGCUGAACUUAAGCAUAUCAUAANCCGGAGGAA